UCAUUCUCCGCCAGGAUUCCCCCUUUCACCAUCUUUCACCAAGUCGUAUUUUCUCUCCAAUGUUGUUGUACAUGUUGUUAAUUAGAUUAGAGGAAGAGGAGCAAUUAAGGAGAAAGGAAUGGAUGAUAUUCCAUGGGGUUGUUCGAUCAUGGAUUACUCCGAUCGAGGAACUUAAAGAUAUGGCUUUGAAUCGGUUUUCAGAUCUAACCCCGGCCACGUCAACAACUCGUGUGCCUAGCUAGCCAUCUCCACAUAUCAUAGGUGAUCGAGCAGCCUAUUCCAUUCAUUCCUCCUCUACAUACGGCUCUACUACAAUUCUAAUUAAAUUAGUUUUGUUGUUGUUGUAUAAUAAUAAUUGUUCACUACUAUAUGCGGGGGGCGAUGAAGCGUCAGUGGACACCCACCCACCAUAAACAAAUCUGAUGACCAAAAAAUAAAACAAUCAUUGUCUGCCUGAGGAUAAUUGAAUUGUCUUAUGCUUAUGCUUUUGUUUGUUACUUUUUAUUUUGUGGCAGAAUCUUUGUCAUAUAUAUGCUUUUGUAUCAACAUUCUUUAAUUUAAUUUGCUCUUUUUAUU
This is a long non-coding RNA of Erigeron canadensis, 576 nucleotides long. RefSeq lists it as uncharacterized. Lineage: Eukaryota; Viridiplantae; Streptophyta; Magnoliopsida; Asterales; Asteraceae. The transcript is spliced from 3 exons. The record is from RefSeq and is a predicted model, not a curated record.